GAUGAACGCUGGCGGCGUGCCUAAUACAUGCAAGUCGAGCGAACAGACGAGGAGCUUGCUCCUCUGACGUUAGCGGCGGACGGGUGAGUAACACGUGGAUAACCUACCUAUAAGACUGGGAUAACUUCGGGAAACCGGAGCUAAUACCGGAUAAUAUAUUGAACCGCAUGGUUCAAUAGUGAAAGACGGUUUUGCUGUCACUUAUAGAUGGAUCCGCGCCGCAUUAGCUAGUUGGUAAGGUAAAGGCUUACCAAGGCAACGAUGCGUAGCCGACCUGAGAGGGUGAUCGGCCACACUGGAACUUAGACACGGUCCAGACUCCUACGGGAGGCAGCAGUAGGGAAUCUUCCGCAAUGGGCGAAAGCCUGACGGAGCAACGCCGCGUGAGUGAUGAAGGUCUUCGGAUCGUAAAACCCUGUUAUUAGGGAAGAACAAAUGUGUAAGUAACUAUGCACGUCUUGACGGUACCUAAUCAGAAAGCCACGGCUAACUACGUG
RNAcentral lists this ribosomal RNA (497 nucleotides) under uncultured bacterium. RNAcentral's name for it is "partial 16S ribosomal RNA". It matches the Rfam family "Bacterial small subunit ribosomal RNA", at positions 28 to 507 of the family's 1533-position model. The record is from RNAcentral.